CACUCAACGGCAGACCUUGCAGUUGGCUUUGUACUCAUGAUCGCCUACACUGUCGGUCCAGCCACGUGUUUAAUUCUUCCCAUUCACGUUUGUAUUUCUGUAAACGCCUUCGCUUCGCGGGUGGAGGUGGAGCAGUGUUUGGAGCCGACAUUUUCCCGCCCGGCAUUCUGCGAAGAAGACCCGCCCUACUCUGCCUCUGAUUGGCUCUGUGGCUAAACCUCACCAAUCCAACCAACGAAGGCGACGAGUGUUAGCCAAUCAGAGGCCGAGUAGGGCAGGUCUUCAGCGUGUGUUGGAUGAAAAUACGGAACAAAUCGCGUCCCGUAUUGAUUUAAAUAUGUGACUAUUUCACAUGUAAAUGGUCGGGCGGUGGCAACUCUAGUCAUCAGUGCUUCAUGAUUGUCUGCGCCUGAUUCCAUGACAACCCCUCCUGUAGCUGCGUCACAGGAGACAAAGAAUCUUGUGGAUGGAGGUACAAAAGCAGUUGAAGAAAGCGAGUGAUAGGAAAUCAAGAGUGAACCUUUGACGGACAUUCACCCUGUGAAGAGAGCUCCGGGACUUGAGAGGCUUCAAAAACAACAUGCAGUUUGUCUUCUGUCUACCAGACAUUGAAGGGCCCACCAGCACCACUGGCCGCAUAGAAGGAACCACAUCAUAAGGAGGAAGAUGUUCAGUCUGCACAGGCCACAAGCACAGACAGGCCAUGUGAUCCGGUCUGCAAGUUACUGCAGCUUUCCAAAGCAGCCCUCAUCUCCUGGGAACAUGUGCGUGACAUCAUGAUGGCAAGAGCCAAAACGCAGGGUGAACAGUUCGCUGAGGAUAAGGAGACAAACAGAGUGGAAGACAUGAAUGGAGCGAUGGAGAGGACUAGAGGAGGGCAGGGCUGUGCCCACCUGCCUGUCUGCCCUGCACCAUCCUUCUGACAGGAAGGUGAUGCAUGAGCCUACACAACAGAGAUGCAGUGGUGAGUCAGCAGGCAGCAAUCUAGAGUCCAUCAGAUGUCUUAACAAGCCAGGAGAGAGGUUUCUACCGCUGGAGAUGGCCUCGUUGUCUGUGGAAAGCAGAGGCUGUGAGCCUGCUCUCCAGGACGCCCCAGGCACCGAGGACCCUACUUUGGUGACUAUUAUGCUGGCAACAUGUGCUCUCGUACCCUCAUUCAACUUUGGCUGCUUAAGAAUUAAGUGCACUCCACCGGGGCUUUUAGCAAAAAACGUCUCGAGGCUAUAUUUUCUGUGUGGCUUUUUAAUAUGAAAGUGAAGCAAGCAAGCAAGCACACACACAAACAUACACAUGCACACAAACGAUUGGAGCUCGCUCCCUCAGAUGCCUCUGGAACCGAAGAUGGGGCAACUAUUUUCAUCAUUAGCGCUGCGCAUGAAACAGCCAUUGAGCAACGCAGCCUUUCAAACAGUGAGGCAUGUCGAGAUGGGGAGGGUAACGGAACAAAAAGAUCUAGAAACAGAAAGAGGUGGUGAGGAAAACGUUUCCUAUAGAGCAAAUUUGAUUGAUGGAGCAGGAGAAUUUCAUUUGUGCGCUCUGCAAAUGUUAACUCUGCAAACUCUUUAUGUUGAAUUGAGAUAAGAGACACAGAAUGAGGAAGACAGAAGGGGAAACGUUGGAAAUAAGGGGGGAAAAUGACAAAAGAAAGGAGAGUUUGUUAGAACAAUAGGACCAGUCAGAGAUUAAACAGCAGAAGCCUGAAUUUCUUGUUACUUUUUUGCUGCUCAGUCAGUCUAAAUAUAGCUCUCCUCUCCUCUCCUCUCCUCUCCUCUCCUCUCCUCUCCCC
Molecule: long non-coding RNA, 1786 nt
Organism: Scophthalmus maximus (turbot)
Lineage: Eukaryota; Metazoa; Chordata; Actinopteri; Pleuronectiformes; Scophthalmidae
Exons: 5
Source: RefSeq, a predicted model, not a curated record